This 399-nucleotide ribosomal RNA is filed under the name Monodelphis dimidiata (Yellow-sided oppossum). RNAcentral describes it as "partial 16S ribosomal RNA". It matches the Rfam family "Bacterial large subunit ribosomal RNA", at positions 1916 to 2493 of the family's 2925-position model. The record is from RNAcentral. Lineage: Eukaryota; Metazoa; Chordata; Mammalia; Didelphimorphia; Didelphidae.
AGUUAACUUCAACGGCCGCGGUAUCCUGACCGUGCAAAGGUAGCAUAAUCAUUUGUCUCCUAAAUAGGGACUUGUAUGAAAGGCAAAACGAGGGUUUAACUGUCUCUUAUUCUUAAUCAAUGAAAUUGACCUACCCGUGCAGAGGCGGGUAUAAUUAUAUAAGACGAGAAGACCCUGUGGAGCUUAAAAUUAUAGCUUAAAUAAAGAUACUCAUUCUCCCAAGGGAUUAAAGAUAUCAAACUCUUAAGCUAAAUUUUUGGUUGGGGUGACCUCGGAGCAUAAAAAAACCUCCGAAUGCUAUAACCAAGAUUAACCAAUCCAAGUGCCACAAGCCAGUAAUUGACCCAAAUUUUGAUCAACGGAACAAGUUACCCCAGGGAUAACAGCGCAAUCCUAUUU